RNAcentral lists this ribosomal RNA (497 nucleotides) under uncultured bacterium. RNAcentral's name for it is "bacterial SSU rRNA". It matches the Rfam family "Bacterial small subunit ribosomal RNA", at positions 30 to 524 of the family's 1533-position model. The record is from RNAcentral.
AUUGAACGCUGGCGGCAUGCCUUACACAUGCAAGUCGAACGGCAGCACGGGAGCUUGCUCCUGGUGGCGAGUGGCGAACGGGUGAGUAAUACAUCGGAACGUACCCUGAAGUGGGGGAUAACGUAGCGAAAGCUACGCUAAUACCGCAUAUUCUGUGAGCAGGAAAGAGGGGGAUCGCAAGACCUCUUGCUUUAGGAGCGGCCGAUGUCGGAUUAGCUAGUUGGUGAGGUAAAGGCUCACCAAGGCGACGAUCCGUAGCGGGUCUGAGAGGAUGAUCCGCCACACUGGGACUGAGACACGGCCCAGACUCCUACGGGAGGCAGCAGUGGGGAAUUUUGGACAAUGGGCGCAAGCCUGAUCCAGCCAUGCCGCGUGCGGGAAGAAGGGCCUUCGGGUUGUAAACUGCUUUAAUCUAGGAAUAAACCCCGGUUCGUGAGCCGGGUUGAAGGUACUGGUUGAAUAAGCACCGGCUAACUCGUGCCAGCAGCCGCGGUAAU